GAAGAUCUCCUAUCAAGUGUCCGCACAAGUUCACGCUUUUCUCCUUCCAGUUCCUCUUUGGCUUUUGAGAGCAAAGCCUGCUGAUCAAAAUUUAUC
This is a long non-coding RNA of Salarias fasciatus (jewelled blenny), 96 nucleotides long. RefSeq lists it as uncharacterized. The record is from RefSeq and is a predicted model, not a curated record. NCBI's taxonomy places the organism in Eukaryota, Metazoa, Chordata, Actinopteri, Blenniiformes, Blenniidae. The transcript is spliced from 3 exons.